CGGGCGCCGCCGUCUACGUCUUCUCCGAGUUCAACCGGUAUCUCUUCAACUGCGGUGAGGGCACGCAGCGGGCCAUGCAGGAGCACAAGCUGAAGAUCUCCCACCUGGACAGCAUCUUCCUCAGCCGA
Molecule: long non-coding RNA, 128 nt
Organism: Egretta garzetta (little egret)
Lineage: Eukaryota; Metazoa; Chordata; Aves; Pelecaniformes; Ardeidae
Exons: 3
Source: RefSeq, a predicted model, not a curated record